AAGUCGUAACAAGGUUUCCGUAGGUGAACCUGCGGAAGGAUCAUUAAAAAAUGUGGUACCAAUUAUUGGUACUAAUUAAUCAUCCUACCCUUUGUGAAUUUGUUUGUAUGAAUUUUUUUAAAUGGGUCUUUCCCUAAGUUGGAUUGUUUGUAAAAUACAAAAAGACUUAGGGGAAUGACUUUUUUAAAAGACUUUUUUUUAAUUAAAACUCUUUGUAUUCAUUUGUCUAAAAUUUAUUUUUAUAAUAUAAAAACAACUCUUGACAAUGGAUCUCUUGGUUCUCGCAACGAUGAAGAACGCAGCAAAAUGCGAUAAGUAGUGUGAAUUGCAGAAUACGUGAAUCAUCGAAUCUUCGAACGCAUAUUGCACUUUUUUAGUUUACUAAAGAAAGUAUGUCUGUUUGAGUAUCAGUAAAAUAUUCUCACAAAAACAAUUUGUUUUUUGUGGUUAUGAGUGUUUUACAACGAUAAACAAGUUGUUUCACUUUAAAUUCUUUUUAAUUGAAUUUUACCAAUUCAUAAAUUAAAAUUGGAUAAAAUUUUCCUUUAACGAGGAAUAACCUAAACAAUUUUAAAUUUUAUGGAUUAAUCAACAUUCAUCAAAGGAAUCUAUACAACAAAUAACUUGAUCUCAAAUCAGAUAAGAGUACCCGCUGAACUUAAGCAUAUCAAUAAGCGGAGGAAAAGAAACUAACAAGGAUUCCCUUAGUAACGGCGAGUGAAGCGGGAAGAGCUCAAAUUUGAAAUCUUCAAGGUUUGACCUUGACGAAUUGUAGUUUAUAGAAGUGUUUUCUGUUGGAGUUUUGGUAAAAGUUCUUUGGAAUAGGACAUCAUAGAGGGUGAGAAUCCCGUAUUUGACCAUGACUUUCCAGCUGUGUGAUACACUUUCAAAGAGUCGGAUUGUUUGGGAAUGCAGUCCAAAAUGGGUGGUAAAUUUCAUCUAAAGCUAAAUAUUGGCGAGAGACCGAUAGCGAACAAGUACCGUGAGGGAAAGAUGAAAAGAACUUUGAAAAGAGAGUUAAACAGUACGUGAAAUUGUCAAAAGGGAAGCGUUUGACACCAGUGUUGUUUUCUCGAAAAUCAAUUUAAUGAGUUCUUGUUUUUAAGUUAUUGUGACUUUAUCAGCGCAUUUCUUAUUUUACUUGACUCAUUGAAUGCACUUUUCGUUUAACAAGUCAACAUCAAUUUCUUUGGUGGUAAAAAGUUUAAAGGAAGGUGGCUUGGACUUCGGUUCAAGUGUUUAUAGCCUUUUUUCUAUGCCAUCGGAGAGAUUGAGGUCUGCAGCGUAGAUCCUUCGGGGUUAGAUACCUUUGUGCUAAGUUAUAGUUUUUUAUAGACAACUUGUUGACUAUAAUUAACCCUGUAAUUUACUCGCUUAGGCUAUUUUACCUACGCUUAGGAUGUUGA
This 1406-nucleotide unclassified non-coding RNA is filed under the name uncultured Neocallimastigales. RNAcentral's name for it is "partial contains small subunit ribosomal RNA, internal transcribed spacer 1, 5.8S ribosomal RNA, internal transcribed spacer 2, and large subunit ribosomal RNA". The stretch from base 626 to 1406 matches the Rfam family "Eukaryotic large subunit ribosomal RNA", at positions 1 to 629 of the family's 3401-position model. The record is from RNAcentral. Lineage: Eukaryota; Fungi; Neocallimastigomycota; Neocallimastigomycetes; Neocallimastigales.